AAGCGCUUGCAGCCAGACUUGCCCGCAGUUGCUCACCUAGGCUUUAGCCUGGGGCACUCUUCUGCGGGCAGGCCAGCAUCAGCCCUGGCGGUUGGACAAAGACUCGUGACACGUACCUCCCUCCGGGGAGGACUUAUAGGGCGAGUGACACACGACCAGCCGGGGCUGAGGUCCGCGCAUCUGCUAGGAUGCUGGCGUAAUGGCUGUCAGCGG
This 213-nucleotide ribosomal RNA is filed under the name Pleosporales sp. RNAcentral describes it as "partial large subunit ribosomal RNA". The record is from RNAcentral. Lineage: Eukaryota; Fungi; Ascomycota; Dothideomycetes; Pleosporales.